AUGAAAACCACCCCGUUUCUCUUCGCACUCUUUUUUACCUUCCCCAGUUAGGGAGGCGAUUCGUUUUGUGAGAAAAAGUGCGAAGACGAACAAUAAAGCCUCCCAAACCGGGAGGCUUUUUUAU
RNAcentral lists this non-coding RNA (124 nucleotides) under Kosakonia cowanii. RNAcentral's name for it is "Phenylalanine leader peptide". It matches the Rfam family "Phenylalanine leader peptide". The record is from RNAcentral. Lineage: Bacteria; Pseudomonadati; Pseudomonadota; Gammaproteobacteria; Enterobacterales; Enterobacteriaceae.